Molecule: ribosomal RNA, 736 nt
Filed under: uncultured Fusobacterium sp.
Lineage: Bacteria; Fusobacteriati; Fusobacteriota; Fusobacteriia; Fusobacteriales; Fusobacteriaceae
Description: bacterial SSU rRNA
Rfam family: Bacterial small subunit ribosomal RNA
Source: RNAcentral
GAUGAACGCUGACAGAAUGCUUAACACAUGCAAGUCUACUUGAAUUUGGGUUUUUUAACUUCGAUUUGGGUGGCGGACGGGUGAGUAACGCGUAAAGAACUUGCCUCACAGCUAGGGACAACAUUUGGAAACGAAUGCUAAUACCUGAUAUUAUGAUUAUAGGGCAUCCUAGAAUUAUGAAAGCUAUAUGCGCUGUGAGAGAGCUUUGCGUCCCAUUAGCUAGUUGGAGAGGUAACGGCUCACCAAGGCGAUGAUGGGUAGCCGGCCUGAGAGGGUGAACGGCCACAAGGGGACUGAGACACGGCCCUUACUCCUACGGGAGGCAGCAGUGGGGAAUAUUGGACAAUGGACCGGGAGUCUGAUCCAGCAAUUCUGUGUGCACGAUGACGUUUUUCGGAAUGUAAAGUGCUUUCAGUUGGGAAGAAAAAAAUGACGGUACCAACAGAAGAAGUGACGGCUAAAUACGUGCCAGCAGCCGCGGUAAUACGUAUGUCACGAGCGUUAUCCGGAUUUAUUGGGCGUAAAGCGCGUCUAGGUGGUUAUGUAAGUCUGAUGUGAAAAUGCAGGGCUCAACUCUGUAUUGCGUUGGAAACUGUGUAACUAGAGUACUGGAGAGGUAAGCGGAACUACAAGUGUAGAGGUGAAAUUCGUAGAUAUUUGUAGGAAUGCCGAUGGGGAAGCCAGCUUACUGGACAGAUACUGACGCUGAAGCGCGAAAGCGUGGGUAGCAAACAGG